RNAcentral lists this ribosomal RNA (440 nucleotides) under uncultured bacterium. RNAcentral describes it as "partial 16S ribosomal RNA". It matches the Rfam family "Bacterial small subunit ribosomal RNA", at positions 338 to 795 of the family's 1533-position model. The record is from RNAcentral.
CCUACGGGAGGCUGCAGUGGGGAAUAUUGCACAAUGGGGGAAACACUGAUGCAGCGACGCCGCGUGAGUGAAGAAGUAAUUCGUUAUGUAAAGCUCUAUUAGCAGGGUAGAAAAUGACGGUACCUGAGUAAGAAGCCCCGGCUAACUACGUGCCAGCACCCGUGGUAAUACGUAGGGGGCAGGCGUUAUCCGGAUUUACUGGGUGUAAAGGGCGCGUAGACGGCAGUGCAAGUCUGGAGUGAAAGGCGGGGGCUCAACCCCCGGACUGCCGUUGAAACUGUACGGCUGGAGUGCAGGAGAGGUAAGUGGAAGUCGUAGGGUAGCGGUGAAAUGCGUAGAUAUUAGGAGGAACACCAGUGGCGAAGGCGGCUUACUGGACUGUAACUGACGUUGAGGCUCGAAAGCGUGGGGAGCGAACAGGAUUAGAUACCCGUGUAGUC